This 415-nucleotide long non-coding RNA is filed under the name Setaria viridis. Its description in RNAcentral is "long non-coding RNA (SVIR_LNC007950)". Lineage: Eukaryota; Viridiplantae; Streptophyta; Magnoliopsida; Poales; Poaceae. The record is from RNAcentral.
CAUGACGAAGUGCGAUGCCGCCCAGUUGAGGACAUGCUUGCGAGAUGAUCACGGUCUUCAAGUUAAACAACUUAUGCAGUGUUAAGGUAAUAAUUUUUGUACAUAGAUGGCUUCUGCUACUGGAGGAAGUGGCGAUGGUGGGGGUGAUCGUGGUUCCUAUUUCGGCAAGGGGAAAAUCAUAGUUGGCCCUCAGCAUAAACCGAAGAAAAAGAGCGCGCUGGAAAAAGCAAUGCUUCGUUAUUUGCAGCAACGUCAUGAAGAAGCUGUUGCCGCGGGUCAGGAACCUCCUUUUGGUGGUCGUUAUGCUCCACCCUCAGUCCCGGGUGUUUCACGUCCACUUAGUACUACCGUUUCAGGCGGCACAAAUAAACCUAAGGAUGAGGUUGGGUUAGCGGAACCUUCAUCUUCACCGUCC